Molecule: long non-coding RNA, 290 nt
Organism: Monopterus albus (swamp eel)
Lineage: Eukaryota; Metazoa; Chordata; Actinopteri; Synbranchiformes; Synbranchidae
Exons: 5
Source: RefSeq, a predicted model, not a curated record
UGCUCGUUUACUUCCCUGGUUCAGUCCUUAUAAUCAUCCUCACCUCACAGAGUUGGGUUUGUUGGUUUGAUACCUCUUGUGCUUCAUCCUUGAUUUUGAAAUCAGGUGAGUCAAGUUUCCUACAGAGGGUAAAUAUAGUGUUUUGACUUCUGCUACAGCUGUGAAUGAAAUCACAUCAAGAUGGCCUUGGGUCUGUAUUUCAUGUUGCUCCUCUCUUUGGCCAGUGGACUAUGGGCUCAGGACGUUGGAGAGGCAAGACCAUCUGACAGCUGUUGUGUAGGUAAGUGAUG